UACGAAGGUGGCAAGCGUCGUUCGGAUUCACUGGGCAUAAAGGGCGCGUAGGCGGUUCCGAAAGUGAUCUGUGAAAGCCCCCGGCUCAACCGGGGAAGUGCAGGUCAAACUUCGGUACUCGAGGCUGGGAGGGGAGACUGGAACUCUCGGUGGAGCGGUGAAAUGCGUAGAUAUCGAGAGGAACACCGGUGGCGAAGGCGAGUCUCUGGGCUGACACUGACGCUCAUGCACGAAAGCGUGGGGAGCAAACAGG
Molecule: ribosomal RNA, 253 nt
Filed under: uncultured bacterium
Lineage: Bacteria
Description: partial 16S ribosomal RNA
Rfam family: Bacterial small subunit ribosomal RNA
Source: RNAcentral